This 1348-nucleotide ribosomal RNA is filed under the name Lactiplantibacillus plantarum. RNAcentral describes it as "Lactobacillus plantarum 16S ribosomal RNA". It matches the Rfam family "Bacterial small subunit ribosomal RNA", at positions 93 to 1428 of the family's 1533-position model. Lineage: Bacteria; Bacillati; Bacillota; Bacilli; Lactobacillales; Lactobacillaceae. The record is from RNAcentral.
GAGUGGCGAACUGGUGAGUAACACGUGGGAAACCUGCCCAGAAGCGGGGGAUAACACCUGGAAACAGAUGCUAAUACCGCAUAACAACUUGGACCGCAUGGUCCGAGUUUGAAAGAUGGCUUCGGCUAUCACUUUUGGAUGGUCCCGCGGCGUAUUAGCUAGAUGGUGGGGUAACGGCUCACCAUGGCAAUGAUACGUAGCCGACCUGAGAGGGUAAUCGGCCACAUUGGGACUGAGACACGGCCCAAACUCCUACGGGAGGCAGCAGUAGGGAAUCUUCCACAAUGGACGAAAGUCUGAUGGAGCAACGCCGCGUGAGUGAAGAAGGGUUUCGGCUCGUAAAACUCUGUUGUUAAAGAAGAACAUAUCUGAGAGUAACUGUUCAGGUAUUGACGGUAUUUAACCAGAAAGCCACGGCUAACUACGUGCCAGCAGCCGCGGUAAUACGUAGGUGGCAAGCGUUGUCCGGAUUUAUUGGGCGUAAAGCGAGCGCAGGCGGUUUUUUAAGUCUGAUGUGAAAGCCUUCGGCUCAACCGAAGAAGUGCAUCGGAAACUGGGAAACUUGAGUGCAGAAGAGGACAGUGGAACUCCAUGUGUAGCGGUGAAAUGCGUAGAUAUAUGGAAGAACACCAGUGGCGAAGGCGGCUGUCUGGUCUGUAACUGACGCUGAGGCUCGAAAGUAUGGGUAGCAAACAGGAUUAGAUACCCUGGUAGUCCAUACCGUAAACGAUGAAUGCUAAGUGUUGGAGGGUUUCCGCCCUUCAGUGCUGCAGCUAACGCAUUAAGCAUUCCGCCUGGGGAGUACGGCCGCAAGGCUGAAACUCAAAGGAAUUGACGGGGGCCCGCACAAGCGGUGGAGCAUGUGGUUUAAUUCGAAGCUACGCGAAGAACCUUACCAGGUCUUGACAUACUAUGCAAAUCUAAGAGAUUAGACGUUCCCUUCGGGGACAUGGAUACAGGUGGUGCAUGGUUGUCGUCAGCUCGUGUCGUGAGAUGUUGGGUUAAGUCCCGCAACGAGCGCAACCCUUAUUAUCAGUUGCCAGCAUUAAGUUGGGCACUCUGGUGAGACUGCCGGUGACAAACCGGAGGAAGGUGGGGAUGACGUCAAAUCAUCAUGCCCCUUAUGACCUGGGCUACACACGUGCUACAAUGGAUGGUACAACGAGUUGCGAACUCGCGAGAGUAAGCUAAUCUCUUAAAGCCAUUCUCAGUUCGGAUUGUAGGCUGCAACUCGCCUACAUGAAGUCGGAAUCGCUAGUAAUCGCGGAUCAGCAUGCCGCGGUGAAUACGUUCCCGGGCCUUGUACACACCGCCCGUCACACCAUGAGAGUUUGUAACACCCAAAGUC